AGCUAUGCAAAAGGAUCAGGGUGGCAAUCGUCAGUUCUUGAGCUUCGAACAGGCAGAAAGCUUUGCAACAAUAUCCGUAUGGCGAUGGUCAGUUCUUGAGCUUCGAACAAGCAGAAAGCUAUGCAACAAGAUCCCGGUGGCUAUGGUCAGUUCUUGAGCUUCGAACUGGCAGAAAGCUAUAGAACAAGAUCAGGGUGGCAAUAGUCAGUUCUUGAGCUUCGAACGGGCAGAAAGGAGGAGGCCAGCUGAGACACUAUAGUUGUGAUGAUGAAAGUUGGGCAAUGAUGAAUACAAGCAAAAGGCUGUUCAAAGAAUUUCCAACUACAACCCUGCAGACCGGGAGCCAAAUGAACAGGACCUCGACCAGCUUCAAUAACAUCUGAACAUGUUUCUAUAAGGAAGAGUUGACAAGGUACCUGAACAUUACAAUGACUCUUGCCAUCUUGAAAGAACACUCCGCACGCGCACACACGCGAACGGUUUUUUUUGCUUGUUGGCCCGCACACUGCUUGGCGUUUAGAAUAUACAUAUGCCUUGUUACUGUGCAGAUACAUUGUGUCUGGUAUAGCGAAAUAUGACCAGCACUUGAUUGUAUUGGGAUGAGUGGCCUUUUGGAUUAUAAUGGAACUUGGACUUCACUCCUAUGAAUCAGAUACUGCCAGGCUGCCAAGGAUGUGCACACACAACUGCUUUG
Long non-coding RNA from Sycon ciliatum, 694 nucleotides. RefSeq lists it as uncharacterized. The transcript is spliced from 5 exons. Lineage: Eukaryota; Metazoa; Porifera; Calcarea; Leucosolenida; Sycettidae. The record is from RefSeq and is a predicted model, not a curated record.